UACGUAGGGUGCAAGCGUUAAUCGGAAUUACUGGGCGUAAAGCGUGCGCAGGCGGUGAUGUAAGACAGAUGUGAAAUCCCCGGGCUCAACCUGGGAACUGCAUUUGUGACUGCAUCGCUGGAGUGCGGUAGAGGGGGAUGGAAUUCCGCGUGUAGCAGUGAAAUGCGUAGAUAUGCGGAGGAACACCGAUGGCGAAGGCAAUCCCCUGGGCCUGCACUGACGCUCAUGCACGAAAGCGUGGGGAGCAAACAGG
RNAcentral lists this ribosomal RNA (253 nucleotides) under uncultured bacterium. RNAcentral's name for it is "partial 16S ribosomal RNA". It matches the Rfam family "Bacterial small subunit ribosomal RNA", at positions 524 to 776 of the family's 1533-position model. The record is from RNAcentral.